AUUGAACGCUGGCGGCGUGCUUAACACAUGCAAGUCGAACGUGAAAGGGGCUUCGGCCCUAAGUAAAGUGGCGCACGGGUGAGUAACACGUGGAUAAUCUGCCCUUAUGAUCGGGAUAACAGUCGGAAACGGCUGCUAAUACCGGAUACGCUCAAAAUGAACUUUUUGAGGAAAGGUGACCUCUGCUUGCAAGUUACUGCAUGAGGAUGAGUCCGCGGCCCAUUAGCUAGUUGGUAGGGUAACGGCCUACCAAGGCAACGAUGGGUAGCCGAUUUGAGAGGAUGAUCGGCCACACUGGAACUGAAACACGGUCCAGACUCCUACGGGAGGCAGCAGUGGGGAAUAUUGCGCAAUGGGCGAAAGCCUGACGCAGCGACGCCGCGUGAGGGAUGAAGGUUUUCGGAUCGUAAACCUCUGUCAGAAGGGAAGAAACCGGCACCGUGCUAAUCAGCGGUGCAUUGACGGUACCUUCAAAGGAAGCACCGGCUAACUCCGUGCCAGCAGCCGCGGUAAUACCGGAGGGUGCAAGCGUUAAUCGGAAUUACUGGGCGUAAAGCGCACGUAGGCUGCUUUGUAAGUCAAGGGUGAAAUCCCACGGCUCAACCGUGGAACUGCCUUUGAUACUGCUUAGCUUGAAUCCGGGANAAGGGUGGCGGAAUUCCANGUGCAAGGAGUGAAAUCCGUNCAAAGAAAAUUGACGGGGGGCCCGCACCAAAGCGGUGGAAGUAUGUGGUUUAAAUUCGAUUGCAACGCGAAGAACCCUUUACCUUAAGGUUUGACAUCCCACGGAACCUUCUCCGAAAAGAAGAGGGUGCCUUUCGGGGAAGCCCGUGAGACAGGUGUGCAUGGCUGUCGUCAGCUCGUGUCGUGAGAUGUUGGGGUUAAGUCCCGCAACGAGCGCAACCCCUAUGAAUAGUUGCCAGCAAGUAAUGUUGGGCACUCUAUUCAGACUGCCCGGGUUAACCGGGGGGAAGGUGGGGACGACGUCAAGUCAUCAUGGCCCUUACGCCUAGGGCUACACACGUACUACAAUGGCGCGCACAAAGGGCAGCUUACUAGCGAUAGUUGGCGAAUCCUUAAAAGCCGUUCCCAGUUCGGAUUGCAGUCUGAAACCCGACUGCAUGAAGCCGGAAUCGCUAGUAAUCGCAGAUCAGCCAAGCUGCGGUGAAUACGUUCCCGGGCCUUGUACACACCGCCCGUCACACCACCCGAGUUGGGGGCACCCGAAGCCGCAGGCUUAACCCGUAAGGGAAAGAAGCGUCUAAGGUGCGCCGAGUAAGGGGGGUG
Molecule: ribosomal RNA, 1287 nt
Filed under: uncultured bacterium
Lineage: Bacteria
Description: partial 16S ribosomal RNA
Rfam family: Bacterial small subunit ribosomal RNA
Source: RNAcentral